This 215-nucleotide long non-coding RNA is filed under the name Elaeis guineensis (African oil palm). Its description in RNAcentral is "long non-coding RNA (EGUI_LNC072283)". Lineage: Eukaryota; Viridiplantae; Streptophyta; Magnoliopsida; Arecales; Arecaceae. The record is from RNAcentral.
GGGACUCUCGAUAGAGGGAUUGUAUCACAUGAUAACUGCACCUAGGGGUUCACUUUUCUAUUCUACUAGGUUGCCACUAUACGUUGCUAGACGUCAUUGGUGGAUCGUGAGAACUCACUAAGAUCAUUUUUGGAUCAACGAUUUUUGUUGAGAUGAGUUGGAAUCGUUUCAGCCCAUCGAAAAGAGUUUCGAUGAUACUGUGAUGGAGAUCAUGG